Molecule: long non-coding RNA, 358 nt
Filed under: Scleropages formosus (Asian bonytongue)
Lineage: Eukaryota; Metazoa; Chordata; Actinopteri; Osteoglossiformes; Osteoglossidae
Description: lncRNA (ENSSFOG00015029351.1)
Source: RNAcentral
CUCGCAGAAAGCAGCUCUGACAGGAACGUUACCUGUUGUCAAGGAUACCGGAAGACGGGACCUUCGGUCGUGCACGUGAAUGACGUCACAGUUCAUUGAUACUCUGUUAUCGGCAAUAAUGAGUCGCUCCACUCCAAUGGAGCCCUUCAGAGAGCUGAUCAUUUCUGCAACGGAGGAGAGGAGCAAGAAGCAACGGGCUGGAACUGGGAAACAAAGUGAAGACUGUCCACUCCUGUGCAGAGAAUGCGUGAAAAUUGUAUGCAUUUCAAAGACGCGACUAAUCAGCUGGGUAGAAGCAUGUGUUUUACAACUGCAACGAGGUUGUCCGCUGUGUGGUCCCUGUGCCACACCUCUGUGA